This 498-nucleotide ribosomal RNA is filed under the name uncultured bacterium. RNAcentral describes it as "partial 16S ribosomal RNA". It matches the Rfam family "Bacterial small subunit ribosomal RNA", at positions 899 to 1397 of the family's 1533-position model. The record is from RNAcentral.
ACUCAAAGGAAUUGACGGGGACCCGCACAAGCAGUGGAGUAUGUGGUUUAAUUCGAAGCAACGCGAAGAACCUUACCAGGUCUUGACAUCCCGAUGUAACACCUAGAGAUAGGUGCCCUCUUCGGAGCAUUGGAGACAGGUGGUGCAUGGUUGUCGUCAGCUCGUGUCGUGAGAUGUUGGGUUAAGUCCCGCAACGAGCGCAACCCUUGAUCUUAGUUGCCAGCACUUCGGGUGGGCACUCUAGGAUGACUGCCGGUGACAAACCGGAGGAAGGUGGGGAUGACGUCAAAUCAUCAUGCCCCUUAUGACCUGGGCUACACACGUACUACAAUGGUCGGUACAACGGGAAGCGAAGCCGCGAGGUGGAGCCAAUCCUUAUAAGCCGAUCUCAGUUCGGAUUGCAGGCUGCAACUCGCCUGCAUGAAGUCGGAAUUGCUAGUAAUCGCGGAUCAGCAUGCCGCGGUGAAUACGUUCCCGGGUCUUGCACACACCGCCCGU